AUACGGAGGAUGCAAGCGUUAUCCGGAUUUAUUGGGUUUAAAGGGUGCGCAGGCGGAAAAUUAAGUCAGUGGUGAAAUCCUACAGCUUAACUGUAGAACUGCCAUUGAUACUGAUUUUCUUGAGUGCAGUUGAGGUAGGCGGAAUGUGUAAUGUAGCGGUGAAAUGCUUAGAUAUUACACAGAACACCGAUUGCGUAGGCAGCUUACUAAACUGUUACUGACGCUCAGGCACGAAAGCGUGGGGAGCGAUCAGGAUUAGAAACCCCAGUAGUCC
Molecule: ribosomal RNA, 274 nt
Filed under: uncultured bacterium
Lineage: Bacteria
Description: partial 16S ribosomal RNA
Rfam family: Bacterial small subunit ribosomal RNA
Source: RNAcentral